UUACAGAAUUUCAAAGAGAGGUCAUAAGAAAGUUACAAUUAUUACUCAAUAAAAUGACUGUUUUGGAGAAUAGAAUGGUCUUAUUGGAAACAUCAAGCUUGAUGCGGCAUUGUAAUUAUGAAGCAGCCGAUGUUAUACAGUAUGAGGAGUAUGAUCUGCCAUUGGAAACUAUAGCGGCAUUAAAACAUUUAGAGGAAUUAUUAAAAGAUAGAUCAUUCGCAGAUAAAAUGAAUCACGGAUGGAUGGAUCCCAUAGGUGAACACGCUGAAACAAGUGGGUGGAGUAAAUGUGUUCAACAUCAUACCAAAUAUAUUACAAAAAUUACUAAGCGACCAGCUUGCAGAGAGUUUUAGUUAUCUGGGACAUCGAAACAAAAGAAAUUUCAGUGCUCUACAUUUGUGCUCAAUUCUGAAGAGAGUGGUACGAAUCCAUAAACCGGAAUCGAGUGACAAACAAAUAGCCGAAAUUACAUCGAGUUGGCUGGUGCAUGCUAAGUGGCGACAACAAAGAGCACAGACAAAAAUGAGAAAACAACAGCAACGCGAAGCUGUCUUCGAAGAUGUCUCCGAAGAAGAACAUGCGAGCCGUCCAUAAAUUUUAUAUGUUACUUUAUUAUAUAAGUAGUUUAUUAUAUAACAUAAUAUAUAAUAUACAUUAUAAUAACAUAAUAUAAAUAUUAUAUAUAUUGUGCAAUAGAUAAGUAAAAAUGUGCAGUA
Molecule: RNA transcript, 716 nt
Organism: Formica exsecta
Lineage: Eukaryota; Metazoa; Arthropoda; Insecta; Hymenoptera; Formicidae
Exons: 4
Source: RefSeq, a predicted model, not a curated record